GACGAACGCUGGCGGCGUGCUUAACACAUGCAAGUCGAACGGAAAGGCCUCAGCUUGCUGGGGUUCUCGAGUGGCGAACGGGUGAGUAUCACGCGGGUGAUCUGUCUUGCACUCUGGGAUAUGACUGGGAAACUGGGUCUAAUACCGGAUAUGAACUGUUUUUCGUGUGGUGGUUGGAGAGAUUUUUCGGUUUACGAUGAGUUGGCGGGCUAUCCGCUUGUUGGUGGGAUAAUGGUCUACCAACGCGUUGCCGGGUAGCCGGCCUGUGGGGGUGUACGGCCACAGUGAGACUGAGAGACGGCCGAGACACCGACGGGAGGCAGAUGGGGGGAAGAUUGAACAAGGGGCGGAAGCCGGAUGCAGCGGCGCCGCGGAGGGGAAGACGGCCUUAGUGGUGAAAACUCAUUUCGACAGGGACGAAGCUUGUUGUGACGGUACCUGAAGAAGAAGCACCGGCUAACUACGUG
RNAcentral lists this ribosomal RNA (467 nucleotides) under uncultured bacterium. RNAcentral's name for it is "partial 16S ribosomal RNA". It matches the Rfam family "Bacterial small subunit ribosomal RNA", at positions 28 to 507 of the family's 1533-position model. The record is from RNAcentral.